UUUAGACCUGGGACACCAGGUGUGUGCAAUUAAUGAUUAGGUGGACCAGAAAAUCAGCAGGCUCCGGAUCUUGAAGGGAAGCAGUUUAAUUCCCCUGGCAACUAUUACCUGACAACUCUGCCAUGUUACAAGUGUGAAGCAUCCAAGGGCACGCUGUUUCACAGCUUCACCUUAAGCCCUAAAACAGCCUCUUGUCUGGAGGUUUUGGGACCCUCCCCAGGGUGUUCAGAGACCCAGCUGAUGACCUGUUGGCUCAGACUCUCAAGGAAGACCUUUUUCUAAUCUGCCUAUUGAAAGCCAAACAUGAUGUCUCCGUCACAGAAACCGCCCUCUGCCCAGAACCUUGACUGUCCUGUUUUAAAGCUUGAUGUUUCUAUCACCGAGACCAUCUCUUCUCACCCUGACUCACCAGAGCAUCAGUGUGGAAUUACAAGGCAGCCACCAAUCAAUCACACCGUGUCAAAAGCUGAAUGCAUUUUCUUCUAAGACAAACAGUCUCAGGGAUUCCUGGCUUAAGUCCCCCCAGCAGUUAUCCCUCAUAAGCUUCUGGAGAUGAGGUGGAUAAUCGGCACGUACAGACCACCAAAAACAACUUAAGGCCACCGACAUUUAGAAGAAAUGGAUCAUGCAUGAGGUGUAAAUAUUGCGUAAAUAUUUAUUCAUCCAAUCUGUAAGCAGAUCUUUCUUGGUAAUGGGAUAAACAUGAUUGUGAGUCGUGUAGUUUUACAAUGUAACUUAGUUUGCCAACUUGACAACUAUUGUUGCAUCUAGUCAACCUGGCACUCUGCCCCCCAACCUGGCAAUUUGACCUUGGUUAUCUAACUUUUUCACAGACUGCCGUUUUGAUGGUCAUGAUGCAACGGUAUGCCAGAUUAAAACAUUCUACACCGUGCAUGUGGGCAUGGACUUUCUUUAUAGAAUUUCUAAAGUUGUGUGUUGAUGACAGCAAGGUUUCUGUAAGACUGGAUUCUAAAAGUGGGAAACCUUUAUUUUCCAUUUCUGCUAGAAAAAAAGCUGCAAAAGAUGACUGAGAAUUGAUUUAGGGUAAAAUUCCCAUUUGAUUAUGAUUGAUUUCUAAAGCUGUGCUUCUUAAUGUUUCUGUAAAAUCAGAUUCUAAAAUGGUGGAAAACAAAAAUGUUACUUUGCUCCUUGGUCUAGGAAAAAGCUGUAUAAGCUGUUUUAACUGUAGGGGAGUAUAUAUGGCUUUCUGAGUAUCUGUUCUGUUACACAUUCUGUAAACACAAACCCUAAUAAAGUUGUUGAACCAUUCAAUUCUUGUAUUUGUGGCCAGCACUUGAACUGAAAAAAGACACGAACACCCC
This is a long non-coding RNA of Esox lucius (northern pike), 1322 nucleotides long. The record is from Ensembl. NCBI's taxonomy places the organism in Eukaryota, Metazoa, Chordata, Actinopteri, Esociformes, Esocidae.